This 805-nucleotide ribosomal RNA is filed under the name uncultured kinetoplastid. Its description in RNAcentral is "SSU rRNA". It matches the Rfam family "Eukaryotic small subunit ribosomal RNA", at positions 324 to 979 of the family's 1831-position model. The record is from RNAcentral. Lineage: Eukaryota; Euglenozoa; Kinetoplastea.
GAUGGCCGUGUAGUGGACUGCCAUGGCGUUGCGGGAGCGGGGGAUUAAGGGUUCGAUUCCGGAGAGGGAGCCUGAGAAAUGGCUACCACUUCUACGGAGGGCAGCAGGCGCCCCAAUUGCCAAUGCCAAAACAAAUGAUGAGGCAGCGAAAAGAAAAUAGGUGCCCCAAACGCCUUGUGCGUUUGGGGCUUUCAAUGGGGGAUAUUUAAAACCAUCCAACAUCGAGUAACAAUUGGAGGACAAGUCUGGUGCCAGCACCCGCGGUAAUUCCAGCUCCAAGAGCAUAUAUUAACGCUGUUGCUGUUAAAGGGUUCGUAGUUGAAUUGUGGGAUGUGUUGCUGGGGUCCCCGUCCUUUUCCCACGGUCUAGGAAAGCCCCAAACACAUCUCGAGAACGUCAGAAACUAAGAUCAUGGAAGUGUUCCCGUCACCUUCGCGAGCAAUGCACGCAGGCGGGCGGUCCGUGUUUUUUACUGUGACUAAAGAAGUGCGACCAAAGCAGUCCAUCGACAUGAAUUAGAAAGCAUGGGAUAACAAAGGAGCAGCUUACGGGCUACCGUUUAGGCUUUUGUUGGUUUUAAAAGUUCGUGGGAGAUUACGGGCGAGUAGGACCGGCGUUGUGUGGCGCAUGCCUUCCGCGUUUCCUCCCUGUAUCGGUCCGCCGGUGCUUUGGAGGCCUAUUCGACUCAGGAAUGAAGGAGGGUUGCUCGGGGGAGAACGUACUUGGUCGUGAGAGGUGAAAUUCUUAGAAAGGGCCAAAGACGAACUACAGCGAAGGCAUUCUCCAAGGAUACCUUCCUCAAUCA